RNAcentral lists this long non-coding RNA (3682 nucleotides) under Sus scrofa (pig). Its description in RNAcentral is "lncRNA (ENSSSCG00000061873.1)". The record is from RNAcentral. Lineage: Eukaryota; Metazoa; Chordata; Mammalia; Artiodactyla; Suidae.
GUGGCAUAUGGAAGUUUCCAGGCUAGGGGUCAAAUCAGAGCUGCAGCUGCCAGUCACAGUGGCAGCCACAGCCACAGCAAUGUGAGAUUUGAGUCAUGUCUGUGACCUACACCACAGCACAUGGCAAUGCCAGAUCCUUAACCCACUGAGUGAGGCCAGGGAUCAAGUUUGCAUCCUCAUGGCUACUAAUCAGGUUUGUAACCCACUGAGCCACAGCCUGCUCUCAUGCACAUCUGAAAUUUGAAACAAUAUCAUCUUCAUAGUCUGUCAUGUCUAAGAGUAGAAAUUAACAAAAAAUACUAUCUCCAGCCACUGAUAAGCCCCAAAGCAUCUGACAGAGAAAUAUCUAUAAUCUCUCUAAGGAAGAAGCUCUCAAGCCAGACAAGACAUGAUUCUCUCACAUAAAGACCUCCUAAAUUCUCACUAGUUUCCAUAAUAUAAAUUGAAAAUAAAACAAAUGCAACAAGAGAGAAAAUGUUUGUGCUUACAAAGGAAUGAUAAUUUGGAUAAAAUUCUUUUCAAUGGCAGCAAUAUAGCUCAGACAUGCAGAGGGUAAAUAUGUUUAACUUAGAAUUCUAUACCUAGCUAAACUAUCAUACAAGAGUGAAGUUAGAUAUUUCCAUAUAGAAAAAGGCCAAGAGAGUCAAUGACUAACAAAUCCUUCAAAAAUAGGAAGGAGUGAGGCAAUGAUAUCCUCCCCACAUGAACCCUGAAUACAUCUCUACAUACAGGGGGUUAACAGAAGGCUAAGCCAGAGUUCCCACUGUGGUGCAGUAGAUUAAGAAUCCAACUGUACUGGCUUAGGUUGCUGUGGAAGUGCAGGUUCAAUCCUCAGCCCGGUAUAGUGGGUUAAAGGAUCCCACAUUGCCCCAGCUGUGGCAUAGGUUGCAGCUCAGAUUCAAUCCCUGACCUAGGAACUUCUAUAUGCUGUGGAUGUGGCCAUGAAAAAAAGAAGACUGAUCCACCAAAUCUCUCUUAAACACCUUUUAUUAAGUAUUAUGAAGUACUUAUUAAGUAUUAUCCACCUAUCUUCAUCUUUAUGAAGAUGCAGCUAGGAUAAAACCUGGGUAAGGAAUAAUAAUAAUCUCCCACAGAACUUUCUAUUUUCUGGAGAAAAUAGCCCCCUCCAAAAAAAAUUAACCAAAGGCUAGGGAAAUGGUUCUAAAUCAUGGCUGCAUAUUAGAGUCACCUGAGAUGUUUUAUUCAUUUUUAUUUUAUUUUUUGGCCAUGCUUAGGGCUUGCAAAAUUCCCAGGCCAAAGAUAGGACCUGUGCCACAGCAGUGACAAUACCGGAACCUUAACCACUAGGUCACCAGGGAAUUCUGCGUGAGAAGCUUUAGAAGGCUACUGAUGCCUGACUGACCCCUAGAAUUUCUGAUUUAACCAAUCUGAGGUAAUUAACUUUACGUGUGUGUGUGUGUGUGCGCAUGCGCGCGCCUUUUUAUCUUAUGGAGAAAUAAGACAUCUUUACCUUAGAAAGGAAGAGUCACAGGUAAUUAGCUAAACUAUACACAGAAUCCUGACCCACAGAAAGUUGAGAUAAGGCAUGUUUACUGUUUUUACACACUCUGGUUUGGGGUUGUUACAAGACAAUAGCUAACUAACAUACCUAGUACUUGUAAUACAAGGUACUUGGCUUUAUGUAAGAAUCUGGCUUAAAAAGCAUUUGUACUCUCUGAAACCUUUGUCCAUACCUGACCAUGCUUGACAUACGAAGGAAAAAUCAUUGAUUCUGGCCCAGGAAGUCUUCCCUUGAGCCCAGCUUGGCAGCUGGUUGGCCAGGCAUCUCUUGUUUUACCACUCUCCAUUUUGUCAUCUUUUAAAAAGGGUUAAUAAUUCCUGCCCUACUUUUCUUUCCACAGCCACACCUGCAGCAUGUGGAAGUUUCCAGGGGUCAAAUCAGAGCCACAUCGGUGACCUACACCACAGCUUGCAGCAACGCUGGAUCCUUAACCCACUGAACAAGGCCAGAGAUUGAACCCACAGCCUCAUGGAGACUAGGUCGGGUUCUUAACCUGCUGAGCCACAAUGGGAACACCCCUGCCCUAUUUUUCAUAGUCACCAUAGCCACCAGUUGAAAUCACACAGAUGAAAACACUUCCAACAAGUAAAUGACUGUACAAACAUAAAAUGGAUAGUUUUAAAUAGCCAGACUCAGCCCUGCGGACAUUCUUCUCUUCUGUUCCUUUAAAUAAUCCAUUCCUUAGACCAAUCUCCACCAGGCUUUUAUAUGUAGCCUGAGAAAUAUGAUGGAUUGCGACUGUGACCACCUGGUUAGGCAAAAAGCAAUGCUGAGAUGCCACUGUUUAUGCAGAGCGUUUUCAGAGCCCUUCCCUCCUCUAGGGAGCUGGCUGUCAGACCACAUCCUGCAUGUGGAGAUGAGCACUUCCUCCCAUGAAUCAGGGUGGGGCCGAGGUGGAGGUCUUUCCUGGUGUUACUAGUACAACUGAAGCCUCUCCUCUGUUCAGUAUACAAAGAAAGUACCUCAUGACUUCCUCUAGUCUGGUCUCCAGGGUCUCAUCCUUGUCAGGAAAUACUGAAUUUAGAGAGGAAAUGUGUUUGCUAAAAUAGAAGUAAUAAUUAAGUCAUGUAAAUCAAAAUAACAAGAUAGGCUUGGGGCUUAAAAAAAAAAAAGAAAAUCCCAGUAAACCAAAUCUAAAUAUAAUCAUAUGAAUAUGCGACUAAGCUCAGUUAGUUAACAAGAAUUUUAUCAAACAACAUGUAUCCAGAUGUUUUUGUGCUGCUUAAGUGCGGCUCUGCAUUUUGUGAAGUGUCCGUAGUGAACUUGAAAUACAUUAGUGAUCAAGAAUGGAGAGGGUUCUAUUAGAAAAAGAUCCCAGUAAAUAGUAUGUAGUGUAUUUGCAAAAAGAAACAGGAUGAUAAACUUGAAACUGAUGAAUGAGUAGGAACAGGAUGGGAGGUCAGAAUGGAAGUGAGCCAUCUACAAGUAAACAUUUUUGUAUCUUUUCUGGAUCUUUGAACCAUAUAAAUGUUUUAUAUGUUAAAAAAUUAAAUCAAAAUGGAUUCUUUUAAACCUCAAAAUUGAAUACAAACAGAAAGCAAAUAAACUUAAACGCGUAUCAAGUUGAUAAAAUAACUACAAGGGCAAAAAAGAAUUAUUUCAAGUAACUUUUGAUUUUAAGGAACUUUUGAUUCUGCCUAUUCCAGAUCACUUUUCUCUCUGACAUCUGUAAUGGAAUAUAUUCUAAGGCCAAAAAGAAUGGCAAACAAAACUGAAACUUUACAGACUAAGUUUGUUGAUAGUUAUGAUACUGGUCUUUGUAGUGAGUAACUUUAGGUGUUGCCUUCACUGGAUGUGUCUGAGGGUGUUUUCAGAUGAUAUUAACAUUUGAUUGGUAGACUGGGCAAAGCAGAUGGGCUUUUCUAAUGUGAGUGGGUCUCAUCUAAUCCAUUGAGGGCCUAAAUGGAACUAAAGGUUGAUUCUUUCUCAAAUAAGAUGUGUGUGUGUGUGUGUGUGUGUGUGUGUGUGUGUGUGUGUGUGUAUGUAUAUAUAGUGUGUUUCUCUAGAGGGAACCUGACCAAUACAGUAUUAUAAUUUCUAAAACAAUUUGCAUGAAGCAAAUAAAUAAAUAUAUUGAUCUUCUUAGGAAACAAAAGUUUCUAUGUAGAAAAAAAGGGGAUGAAAAUAUACAAGAAGCUAAGAAAAAGACUUCUACUGUGA